GGGCCUAUAGCUCAGCCGGUUAGAGCAUCUGACUCAUAAUCAGGGGGUCCCUGGUUCGAGCCCAGGUGGGCCCA
This 74-nucleotide transfer RNA is filed under the name Algoriphagus aquaeductus. Its description in RNAcentral is "tRNA-Met". It matches the Rfam family "tRNA". From Rfam's summary of the family: Transfer RNA (tRNA) molecules are approximately 80 nucleotides in length. Their secondary structure includes four short double-helical elements and three loops (D, anti-codon, and T loops). The record is from RNAcentral. Lineage: Bacteria; Pseudomonadati; Bacteroidota; Cytophagia; Cytophagales; Cyclobacteriaceae. RNAcentral also lists the same sequence under 9 other names.